UACGUAGGGUCCGAGCGUUGUCCGGAAUUAUUGGGCGUAAAGAGCUCGUAGGCGGUUUGUUGCGUCGGCUGUGAAAUCCCGAGGCUCAACCUCGGGUCUGCAGUCGAUACGAGCAAACUAGAGUGUUGCAGGGGAGACUGGAAUUCCUGGUGUAGCGGUGAAAUGCGCAGAUAUCAGGAAGAACACCCGUGGCGAAGGCGGCUCUCUGGGACGGUACUGACGCUGAGACGCGAAAGCGUGGGGAGCGAACAGG
Molecule: ribosomal RNA, 253 nt
Filed under: uncultured bacterium
Lineage: Bacteria
Description: partial 16S ribosomal RNA
Rfam family: Bacterial small subunit ribosomal RNA
Source: RNAcentral